This 492-nucleotide ribosomal RNA is filed under the name uncultured bacterium. RNAcentral's name for it is "partial 16S ribosomal RNA". It matches the Rfam family "Bacterial small subunit ribosomal RNA", at positions 29 to 507 of the family's 1533-position model. The record is from RNAcentral.
AGUGAACGCUGGCGGUAGGCCUAACACAUGCAAGUCGAACGGCAGCACAGUAAGAGCUUGCUCUUACGGGUGGCGAGUGGCGGACGGGUGAGGAAUACAUCGGAAUCUACUUUUUCGUGGGGGAUAACGUAGGGAAACUUACGCUAAUACCGCAUACGACCUACGGGUGAAAGCAGGGGAUCUUCGGACCUUGCGCGAUUGAAUGCGCCGAUGUCGGAUUAGCUAGUUGGCGGGGUAAAGGCCCACCCAGGCGACGAUCCGUAGCUGGUCUGAGAGGAGGAUCAGCCACACGGGAACGGAGACACGGUCCAGACUCCUACGGGAGGCAGCAGUGGGGAAUAUUGGACAAUGGGCGCAAGCCUGAUCCAGCCAUACCGCGUGGGUGAAGAAGGCCUUCGGGUUGUAAAGCCCUUUUGUUGGGAAUGAAAAGCAGCAGGUUAAUACCCCGCUGUUCUGACGGUACCCAAAGAAUAAGCACCGGCUAACUUCGUG